This 506-nucleotide ribosomal RNA is filed under the name uncultured bacterium. Its description in RNAcentral is "partial 16S ribosomal RNA". It matches the Rfam family "Bacterial small subunit ribosomal RNA", at positions 28 to 523 of the family's 1533-position model. The record is from RNAcentral.
GAUGAACGCUAGCGGCAGGCCUAACACAUGCAAGUCGAGGGGUAACUAGAGUGAUAGCAAUAUUACUUUGGCUAGACCGGCGCACGGGUGCGUAACACGUAUGCAACCUACUUUAUACUGGGGAAUAACUUCGAGAAAUCGGCGCUAAUACCCCAUAACACUGCGGAGAGGCAUCUCUUUGCAGUUAAAGCUCCGGCGGUAUAAGAUGGGCAUGCGUCCAAUUAGCUAGUUGGUGAGGUAACGGCUCACCAAGGCUACGAUUGGUAGGGGUUUUGAGAGGAUGAUCCCCCAAACUGGUACUGAGACACGGACCAGACUCCUACGGGAGGCAGCAGUGAGGAAUAUUGCGCAAUGGACGAAAGUCUGACGCAGCCAUGCCGCGUGCAGGAUGACGGCCCUAUGGGUUGUAAACUGCUUUUGUACGGGAAUAAACCCUUCUACGUGUAGGAGGCUGAAGGUACCGUAAGAAUAAGCACCGGCUAACUCCGUGCCAGCCGCCGCCGUAA